RNAcentral lists this ribosomal RNA (298 nucleotides) under uncultured Sphingomonadaceae bacterium. Its description in RNAcentral is "partial 16S ribosomal RNA". It matches the Rfam family "Bacterial small subunit ribosomal RNA", at positions 111 to 426 of the family's 1533-position model. Lineage: Bacteria; Pseudomonadati; Pseudomonadota; Alphaproteobacteria; Sphingomonadales; Sphingomonadaceae. The record is from RNAcentral.
UAACGCGUGGGAAUCUGCCCUCAGGUACGGAAUAACUCAGGGAAACUUGAGCUAAUACCGUAUAAUGACUUCGGUCCAAAGAUUUAUCGCCUGAGGAUGAGCCCGCGUCGGAUUAGCUAGUUGGUGAGGUAAAAGCUCACCAAGGCGACGAUCCGUAGCUGGUCUGAGAGGAUGAUCAGCCACACUGGGACUGAGACACGGCCCAGACUCCUACGGGAGGCAGCAGUGGGGAAUAUUGGACAAUGGGCGCAAGCCUGAUCCAGCAAUGCCGCGUGAGUGAUGAAGGCCUUAGGGUUGU